This 446-nucleotide ribosomal RNA is filed under the name uncultured bacterium. RNAcentral describes it as "partial 16S ribosomal RNA". It matches the Rfam family "Bacterial small subunit ribosomal RNA", at positions 355 to 790 of the family's 1533-position model. The record is from RNAcentral.
UGGGGAAUAUUGCACAAUGGGCGCAAGCCUGAUGCAGCCAUGCCGCGUGUGUGAAGAAGGCCUCGGUUGUAAGCACUUUCAGCGAGGAGGAAGGUGGUGAACUUAAUACGUUCAUCAAUUGACGUUACUCGCAGAAGAAGCACCGGCUAACUCCGUGCCAGCAGCCGCGGUAAUACGGAGGGUGCAAGCGUUAAUCGGAAUUACUGGGCGUAAAGCGCACGCAGGCGGUUUGUUAAGUCAGAUGUGAAAUCCCCGGGCUCAACCUGGGAACUGCAUUUGAAACUGGCAAGCUAGAGUCUCGUAGAGGGGGGCUAGAAUUCCAGGUGUAGCGGUGAAAUGCGUAGAGAUCUGGAGGAAUACCGGUGGCGAAGGCGGCCCCCCUGGACGAAGACUGACGCUCAGGUGCGAAAAGGCGUGGGGGCAGCAAACAGGAUUAGAUACCCUGG